GAUGAACGCUGGCGGCGUGCCUAAUACAUGCAAGUCGAGCGAACAGAUGAGGAGCUUGCUCCUCUGACGUUAGCGGCGGACGGGUGAGUAACACGUGGAUAACCUACCUAUAAGACUGGGAUAACUUCGGGAAACCGGAGCUAAUACCGGAUAAUAUAUUGGACCGCAUGGUUCAAUAGUGAAAUACGGUUUUGCUGUCACUUAUAGAUGGAUCCGCGCCGCAUUAGCUAGUUGGUAAGGUAACGGCUUACCAAGGCAACGAUGCGUAGCCGACCUGAGAGGGUGAUAGGCAACACUGGAACUGAGACACGGUCCAGACUCCUACGGGAGGCAGCAGUAGGGAAUCUUCCGCAAUGGGCGAAAGCCUGACGGAGCAACGCCGCGUGAGUGAUGAAGGUAUUCGGAUCGUAAAACUCUGUUAUUAGGGAAGAACAAAUGUGUAAGUAACUAUGCACGUCUUGACGGUACCUAAUCAGAAAGCCACGGCUAACUACGUG
This 497-nucleotide ribosomal RNA is filed under the name uncultured bacterium. RNAcentral describes it as "partial 16S ribosomal RNA". It matches the Rfam family "Bacterial small subunit ribosomal RNA", at positions 28 to 507 of the family's 1533-position model. The record is from RNAcentral.